UGCACUAAAACUGAUUUUCUUGAGUACUGGAGAGGAAAGUGGAAUUCCUAGUGUAGCGGUGAAAUGCGUAGAUAUUAGGAGGAACACCAGUGGCGAAGGCGACUUUCUGGACAGAAACUGACGUUGAGGCACGAAAGUGUGGGGAGCAAACAGGAUUAGAUACCCUGGUAGUCCACACCGUAAACGAUGGAUACUAGGUGUAGGGUGUGAUAAACACUCUGUGCCGUCGCAAACGCAAUAAGUAUCCCACCUGGGGAGUACGGCCGCAAGGUUGAAACUCAAAGGAAUUGACGGGGGCCCGCACAAGCAGUGGAGUAUGUGGUUUAAUUCGAAGCAACGCGAAGAACCUUACCAGGGCUUGACAUAAACAGGAAUAUAUAAGAGAUUAUAUAGCUCUUCGGAGUCUGUUUACAGGUGGUGCAUGGUUGUCGUCAGCUCGUGUCGUGAGAUGUUAGGUUAAGUCCUGCAACGAGCGCAACCCCUAUUCUUAGUUGCCAGCAUGUAAAGAUGGGAACUCUAGGAAGACUGCCGGUGAUAAAUCGGAGGAAGGUGGGGACGACGUCAAAUCAUCAUGCCCUUUAUGUCCUGGGCUACACACGUACUACAAUGGCUAUCACAGAGAGAAGCGAAGCAGUGAUGUGGAGCAAAACUCAAAAAAGUAGUCUCAGUUCGGAUUGAAGGCUGAAAUUCGCCUUCAUGAAGCCGGAAUUGCUAGUAAUGGCAGGUCAGCAUACUGCCGUGAAUACGUUCCCGGGCCUUGUACACACCGCCCGUCACACCAUGAGAGUUGGGAAUACCCGAAGCCCGUGAGCCAACUUGUAAAAGAGGCAGCGGUCGAAGGUAGAAUCAUGAUUGGGGGUGAAGUCGUAAACAGGUAGCCGUAUCGGAAGGUGCGGCUG
Molecule: ribosomal RNA, 899 nt
Filed under: human gut metagenome
Description: bacterial SSU rRNA
Rfam family: Bacterial small subunit ribosomal RNA
Source: RNAcentral